This 197-nucleotide unclassified non-coding RNA is filed under the name plant metagenome. Its description in RNAcentral is "partial contains small subunit ribosomal RNA and internal transcribed spacer 1". The stretch from base 1 to 46 matches the Rfam family "Eukaryotic small subunit ribosomal RNA", at positions 1786 to 1831 of the family's 1831-position model. The record is from RNAcentral.
AAGUCGUAACAAGGUCUCCGUAGGUGAACCUGCGGAGGGAUCAUUACUGAGUUCGGGGGCAAUCCCAGUCCCGACCUCCAACCCUUUGUGAACAAAUCUUGUUGCUUCGGGGCGACCCUGCCGUUCGCGGCAUUCCCCGCCGGAUGCCAUCAAAACAACUGCAUUAUUACGUCGGAGUAAAAGUUAAUUUAAUAAAA